RNAcentral lists this ribosomal RNA (486 nucleotides) under uncultured bacterium. Its description in RNAcentral is "partial 16S ribosomal RNA". It matches the Rfam family "Bacterial small subunit ribosomal RNA", at positions 899 to 1397 of the family's 1533-position model. The record is from RNAcentral.
ACUCAAAUGAAUUGACGGGGGCCCGCACAAGCAGCGGAGCGUGUGGUUUAAUUCGAGGCUACACGAAGAACCUUACCUGGGUUUGACAUACUGGUGGUAGGGAAGCGAAAGCUGACCGACCUUCGGGAGCCAGUACAGGUGCUGCAUGGCUGUCGUCAGCUCGUGCCGUGAGGUGUUAGGUUAAGUCCUGUAACGAGCGCAACCCUCAGAACUAGUUACACGGUGUCUAGUUCGACCGCCCGCGAUAAGCAGGGAGGAAGGUGGGGAUGAUGUCAAGUCAGCAUGGCCUUUAUAUCCAGGGCUACACACACGCUACAAUGGUCGGUACAAUGGGUCGCCAAGUGGUAACACGGAGCCAAUCCACGAAAGCCGAUCUCAGUUCGGAUUGAGGGCUGCAACCCGCCCUCAUGAAGUCGGAGUUGCUAGUAACCGCCGGUCAGCCAUACGGCGGUGAAUACGUUCCCGGGCCUUGUACACACCGCCCGU